This 492-nucleotide non-coding RNA is filed under the name Pongo abelii (Sumatran orangutan). Lineage: Eukaryota; Metazoa; Chordata; Mammalia; Primates; Hominidae. The record is from RNAcentral.
UAGGCGGUCAGCACCACGCCGCCCGAGUCCUCCACCUCCAUCGUCAGCCGCGCAUGUCUCGGCGCCGGCCCCAGAACAAAGACCGGGACCAGCAUGGACCGGCGCGCAGGGAGGCUGUCAGCAGCUGGGCGGCGCGGCCCGAGCCCUCUUCCAACUGGAGGCUUAUCCUGUGGCUGGGAACAUUUCCUGCCUGGCUGCGAGGAGUGAGACUAAGAAACCAUACCUCAGGCUGAGGAGAGAGGCCGGGUUUGAAAUGUGUGCUCUGGGGAAGAAAAGGAGAAAAUGUGACACUCUCUCAUUUAAAGCAUCCACAUCAAAAAUUGAAGAACUGGAUUACAUUGCUGUUUACUUGGUCAAGUUACAAUAAACUUGAUUUCCUUUUGGGUCAGGUAAUCCCCUCUUAACAGCAAGGGAACGCUUCCCUCCCACACCCUCAGUGCACCACUACCAGACUCUUACCUCACUCUCACAUCCCUUUCCUCCUCCCAGUCA